Non-coding RNA from Macaca mulatta (Rhesus monkey), 1869 nucleotides. NCBI's taxonomy places the organism in Eukaryota, Metazoa, Chordata, Mammalia, Primates, Cercopithecidae. The record is from RefSeq and is a predicted model, not a curated record.
UUUUUAGUAGAGACGAGGCUUCACCGUUUUAGCCAGGAUGGUCUCAAUCUCCUGACCUUGUGAUCCACCCGCCUCGGCCUGCCAAAGUGCUGGGAUUACAGGCAUGAGCCACCACACCCGGCCAGGUAUUUGUCGGUUUUUGAAAGCUACAUUUAAAGAAUGAAAUAGACUGAACAGAAUUACUUCCUUUUGAAUGUUUAAUACUUAAUCUACCAGAACACUUAAAUACAGUUAAUGUAUUCAAAUAAUAAGAAAGAACUUUCCCUCCGUUUCCAAAGCAAAAGUAUAAACAAUCUUUUACUUGGCAGGGAUUUCACUAUGUUUCUUAAAAGCCAGCAAGCACUUUUCCUGAAAUAGACCCGUCUCUUCCUCUGCAUAGAUCCUAUGAACAUUUUAGCUACAUUUCUGCUAUAUCUUGAUGUGUGAUAGAUUAUAGAAAAUUCCUUGCUACUGGAACUUCACGAUGCUUUCCUUUUAAACAUCAAAUAGAAAGUAUGGAUAGUAAAUCUCAGAUUAGUUGCCAUUCUUGGUCUUGGUAGAGCUGCCACCAAAAGCCUCUGUCAAUUACAACAGAGUGUGUCUCCCUAGCAACUAGGUUUAGAUUGCAGACCAAGCCACGAUCACCCAGGAUUCAGUGCAACGUAUUUGUGGACUCAGAUCUGUGUGGAUUAGUGACUUGUGUUACUCACAGAUACUUAAUUUUAUGGGUAAAUGAAUACCUGGACUGGCUGCAACUUCAGGGCGAGAUUCGGGAGUAGGGAGUGAAAAGUGACGACGGAACCCUGGGCUUGUCCUGCCAUCCCCAGGAACCGGUCGGGGCGCCUUCUCGUCUGAAGUCCCAGCACGUGGUCAGGGUACCCCUCCCCUCUGAACCCCCCCGGAAGUGAUCGGGGCACCAAUCCCCUCUGAAGCCCCAGCACCUGGUCGGGGCACCCCUCCCUUCUGAAUCCCCCAGCACCUGGUCGGGGCGCCCCUCCCUUCUAAAGCCCCCAGACCUUCCUGGCCUGCGGUGCUGCUUCUCCAAAUUCUGCCCUUGGCUGUUUUCUAGGAAUCACCUGUACCCGAACAGGCUGCGUGUGUCACUUCUUGUCGGAUCUGGGUCGACGGUGAAGCUCAUUUAUCUUGUCUUCCUCCUCACGUGCCAUAUCUCACCUGUUGUCUGUCUGAGUUUGUGUGAGUGCGUGUUGUGCGUUCUCAGGCUGUGCUUGGUGCUUAGGUGACAAGAACGUCUUAGAGCAAGGGACUGCCUGCUCCAAAGGACGCUGUGAAUGAAUCGAGACACGGUUUACUUGUGGGGUUUAAAUUUCCUGGGUGUUGGAGGCAAUUAGGGGGAAACAAGGUCUAAAAAAGCCCCUGGGGAUGAGGAAGGCAAUAAUGAAAAAAAUUACUCUAUACACACUUAGCAGUUGGUUUAAUUUGUAGGUGAAUUUUGCAUUUUGGGAACUACUAAAGCUAUUUUUUGUAGGGAUUCCUUGAUGAGCUUCUUGUUUUCUGUCCAGUAGAAAGUAAAGUGGAUCGGUUUUGCCUUUAAUUCUGACUGACUAGAAUCUACUUCCUUUUUCCCCCCAUUCACGUUAGGGUGGGGAUUGGACUAGAAGAGCUGUAGGAUCUCUUUAUUUCUGAUCUUAAAUGAAUUUUUUCUUUAAUUAGUUUUUUUGUUUGUUUGUUUUGUUUUGUUUUGUUUUUGGUGAGCUAUUACUUUUUCCUUCAAUGCACUGUUCUUUGGUUUGGAAAACGGGCUCUAUUUGUACCGUGCUUUAAAUGUACACAAUGGUUCUAAAUUGCUACUUUUCGUUAAAGUUAGAUACAACAUCUUAAUUGAAAUGUCAUCCAUAAUUGAGGCACAGUCUGAGGCCUGGAGACCCCUCU